This 266-nucleotide signal recognition particle RNA is filed under the name Lederbergia citri. RNAcentral describes it as "signal recognition particle sRNA large type". It matches the Rfam family "Bacterial large signal recognition particle RNA". From Rfam's summary of the family: The signal recognition particle (SRP) is a universally conserved ribonucleoprotein involved in the co-translational targeting of proteins to membranes. Archaeal SRP consists of a 7S RNA and homologues of the eukaryotic SRP19 and SRP54 proteins. Lineage: Bacteria; Bacillati; Bacillota; Bacilli; Caryophanales; Bacillaceae. The record is from RNAcentral.
CCGUGCUAGACGGGGAAGUAGCGGAGCCCUGUAACCCGCAAUCCGCUCCAGCGGGGUUGAAUUCCUUCCCGAGGCUGUUGUACUGUAGGGUCUGCCUCAAGUAAGUGGUGUUGACAUCUGGGUCCUGCGCAAUGGGAAUCUAUGAACCAUGUCAGGUCCGGAAGGAAGCAGCAUUAAGUGGAAUCUCUCAUGUGCCGCAGGGUAGCCUGGAUUGAGCUAACUGCUUGAGUAACGCUUAUGGUACACAGUCAGAGGAAGGUGUGCGG